This is a long non-coding RNA of Capsicum annuum, 3483 nucleotides long. RefSeq lists it as uncharacterized. The transcript is spliced from 8 exons. The record is from RefSeq and is a predicted model, not a curated record. Lineage: Eukaryota; Viridiplantae; Streptophyta; Magnoliopsida; Solanales; Solanaceae.
GAGUGCCCUAAUUUCUAGCUUCUAACAGUAUUUUUGUGCUUGUUGCAAAGUGUCAUAGGAUUUCAGUGCCCUAAUUUCUUGCGAAGUGUCAAUUUUUUGUGCUUAUUCUCUUAAAGACACUGGUUUUUAAAAAUAUUUGCUAUUACUUGAUAACAUAUGAAUAGCUUUAUUUAUUGAUAAAAAGAGGAAGAAGAAGAAACGUUCUACAAGAAAUAGAAGACAAGAAAAGUUUUUGAGUUUUUGGUUGACAAGGUAAACUGCUCUAAUCAUUCAUGUUUAAUGGCUAUUGGUAAAAAUCAUAUGAUGAGUGUAAAGAAAAAUCAGGUUUAUUGACUGAUGAGUGUAAUGUUAAUACAAGUUGCGAUCCUAAAGUCACGAUAAGCUUAACUGGAAUUCGCGAAAAAUUGGGAGGUUUGGUUAAUGUAUAGAGACAAUAUGAUUGCAUAAAUGGUACAUUGUUGAAUGUUGGUUAACCCUCUAUUUAAUCACUUUUAAUCCCCUCAAUGCAGUAAUAUCUAAGCUCUGUUAGGGCUUAAAGAUCAGAGUGCAAAUAAAAGUGCGAGGUUCAAUUAAAAAAAAGCGCAGAGAAAAAAUGCAAAUAUUUAUGUUUAGUCCAAGAUUAAUAAUUAUAAGCAUGAACGACUAAUAUGUGAAUAAAGAAAUUGAAAAAUAAUUACGACAAAGUCAAAUAUCAAUUGUUUAGUGUCACCUAUUCAAAGAGAUCCAUUGGCAAGGAAAAGUAUGCCUUAAAAACUUGACGACGAUAGUGAAGCACACAUAUAGCUAGGUGAAGCACUCAACACAUUUUAAGCCUCUCAUCGGGUAUUAAGCAUGCCUUUGAUAACACUGCCUCAAUGUGAUGAAUACGUCAUGCCAGAUGAAGAUGAUAUUCUAUGGCUCUAAUAAUCAGCUCAAGAAGAUGCUUAAAAGCUGUUGUGUGAGCUUUAUGGGGGAGCUUGAAGUGAUGUAGUGCUUUGACGAGAAACAAGACAUUGUUUAAUCUCUUUAAGCUCUUAAAUUAUGGUUUUGAAGAGAAGAGUUGAUCCAUUUUGACAUACAAAUGAAAUGUCGGGUGCCAUCAUUUGAUUGUGAAACACAUUGGUAACAAUGGAGGCUUUACACUUCCGGAUCAGUGAGCUAGGCGAAGUGUCUACAUCAACUAAAACUGUUGAUCUCUUUGUAAUAGGCAUUUCAAAAAGUUCUUAAAGCUUAUGCAACAAAGCUCUUCGCUAGAUUGCCAAAGGGCGGUACAGGAAUUGUUGCAGCUGCCACUGGAAUCGAAGGACAGAUAAAGACUUCGAACAAGGAUGAAAAGGUUAUCUGCUGCAUAGUAAAUACUGCAGAGUGUUGUCACAAAACGGUCAGUUCUCCCUUGUAUGGGUGAUUUAUGUAUUAAAUUUAAUAACAUAUCCAGUACUAUGUACUAAAUUGGAAUCCCUUUAACCAAUGAUGGAAAACGUGCAGAACCAUGCGACCUUCUUUAGUGCAUUUUUGAGUUGGUAAAGGUUAAUGAGAUUUAAAUAUAAGCCAAGGUGAUGAGGAACAGUCGUCAUGGAAAUUCACAAAGAAAUUUCCAAAUAAUGUCAUUUUUUUGUUGUCUCCUCAAACUCACACCAAACUUCUUUUUAUCGUGUUUACAUUUUAGCAGUGGGAAGAAUUGGCUGAUAAUGUGUCAAAAUUGAUUGAUGCUCAAUUUGAGGAUAGGGUUGAUAUGUUUGAAGUACAGGUAGAACAUGCUUAUAUAGUUUCACUGCUUAGUGUUAAAUACAUUUUCAGGAUGAAUUUUCAGCAGUCGUUAUAAAAUCAUUGAUUACAUUAGUGCUGGAAUAGAAACAAAGUUUGACUCUGAAAUGGCGGCGAUGAGUCGGGUUCCAUGGAGCACUCUUGAAAGUGUUGUUGAUUAGUCAGAGUAUGUUUACUAUGUCGUACAUUGGCACCUUCAAACAGAAAUACGUCAAUGGCAUAAAUUUGAUCCUUACGAGUAUCCAUGACAUUAUUGUAUAUGCUUUUGGAUACACAAGCAGUAAAGACUAUUUUGCUGGAAAUUCCUUCUCUUCUCUGGGAAAACAAGUAAGAUUGCAAGCAUUUCAGAAGUGUGGAUCCUUCAUUGUUUGUUCUUCUUUUUUGUUUCUUCUGUUUUAAUAAAUUUUAGGCUGAUAUUUUUCACUAGCACUGUCAUCCUCAUUAACAUUUCCAUUUCUAUACUUUAGGGCAACCACAUGUUUAAACUUUAUUCUUGAGGUAAUUUGUAGUUUUGAUAAAUAAAGUGGCUCAUAGCUGAAACUGAAUAUGAUUGAUCCUAGAAAGCAAAAUAGGCAAAGAUGACCGACGCUCAUUUGAAAUAUUCAGUUUCCUGAUGAAUAUGAAAAUACACUGCUAUAGAAAAACAGUAAUAAUAUCUCUAAAUCCUUCUCCUCCAUCAGUAUUUUGUGCACUGGGGUCAUUUUUGCUAGAUUUGUAACUUCACGAGAUAGGAGACUUCAAACUGAUGUACUUAACAAUAUCUGUCUUUCUGUCCUUUUAUUUUAAAUAUUAGAACUGCGACUAUUUGAUAGGACUGAAUGAGGUGGCAGACCGUGCUAGUAUAUGCAGCUCAUGUCCUUUAUUUGAUCUUUCUCGAGAUGGCAAAUAAUUCCUGAUUUUCAGUUCUGGGUUGUUUUUUGAUCUCACUUGAAGUUUGCUGCCAAAUAUGAGUUUCCAUCCCCUCCAAGGCGCACUCAACAGGAGCAACUAUUGCAUUGGCACUCAACAGGGGCCCAGCCCCUCGUGCCUGCAUAUCUGUCACCUUGGUUUCAUGAUUUGCAAGAGAGUUUACUUUUUGAUACCUUGUUUGAUCAUAAUAGUGUGAUAUGCUCCAUUGCUAUGCACUCCCCUGUAAUUACUAUUUUACUAUCUCUUCUGAUAUGUAGAUCUUUUCUAAGUAACUACCAUAAACUGGACCCUAGCAGCUGGAUUGGAAGUAUUUGGUUGAAUUCCUUUUUUUAUUUGUGUUUGUUGUAGAAUUUAGUAAGAAUUAUUUCCUUAUCCCUGCUUCUGUCUAGGAAGGGACAGCGCCAACUGGUUAUUUUUUAUAGCUCCUUGUAUUCAUUUCAUGGAAUCAUUUUAACACAAUGACGUACUACAGGCUUAUUCCACUGUUGGGACACUUGAUUACAUUGCACUGGAGGUUUUAUUGAAGAAAGGAUUUGAAUGUGAAUGUGAUUGAUGGUCACUUGGUGCGAUCAUGUAUGAGAUGCUCGUGGGAUAUCCACCAUUCUAUUUUGAUGAGCCUAUGUCUGCCUGUAGAAAGGAUUUGAAAGGAAAAGUUGUAAUGUCUGGGAAGUCCAUUUGAGACAGGUGUCCAAAAUGAAAAAAGAGAUGAAGAAAGUGAUGAAGACAUUAACUUAUCGCGACUCGAACUUGCUACUAUAUAAAAAAAAUUAUUAGCUUGUUGCAUAUUUUGGAUUAUGAGAUUAUUAAUAAAUGAUUUUGUUUUGUGAUGUA